UGGUGCUCUCCUGGGACAGCCCCAGGUGACAGCUGCUAGAGUGAGCCAGGGCAGUGGCUGCCAUGCUUUGUCCCUGGUUCCCUUUCCAGUUCAGGGCUGGGCUCAGCAAAACAGCCUACAACAUCACCCCUUACAUCUAAAUAUGGAGCAGAUGACAAGAGUGACCAUGAUCCUAAUCCUGGGUACUGGGAGCCUUGCUAAGACCACUCAGCCUAUCUCCAUGGACUCCUACGAGGGACAAGAGGUGAACUUGUCCUGUACCCACCCCAACAUUGCUACAAAUGAAUACAUCUUCUGGUACCGACAAGUCCACCUGCAGGGACCACAGUUUGUUAUUCAAGGUUAUAAGACAGACGUGGCCAAUGGAGUGGCAUCUCUGUUUAUCCCUAAAGACAGGAAGUCCAGCACCCUGAGCCUGCCCCGUGUUGCUCUGCAAGACACUGCUGUGUACUACUGCAUCGUGGCUGAUGCACAGUGAGUCAUCUGGCCCUGCACCUGUGCAGUAUCCCUCUGUUGGUGGCAGUCAUGCCUGUGAUUAAGCCCCAAAGCAGGGUUUUCUGAAACUUUCUUUUUCCUUUUUAUGAGAGUGUUUGUAAAAUAAUUCCUGUGCUAUUUAAACCUUUCUGCUAUUUAUUUUUAAACAGAUAUUUCAUUUAAAUGGAAAAUUGAAAAAGUGGAAUAAAAUUAAGGAGUAUGGGGCAUUGUGUUUACCCCACCAUUCUGUUGUUUAAAAAGAUCAUAUCUUUUUAUUCAUUCUUCAGUUGGUUGGCAUUUGCACUGCUUGCAAGAUUACAAAUUGUGUUACUAUAAACAUGUGUGCAUAUAUAUAGCUAUGGUAUGAUGUUUUUAAUUCUUCUGGAAAGAAAUCCAGAAGGGGAAUAGCUGGGUCAAAAAAUGGGACUUCUAGUUUUUGAGAACUCUCUACACUGAUUUUCAUAGUGAUUGUACCAGUCGGCACCACCACCAACAGUGAAGAAGAGUUCCUUUUCUCCCUCUGCCCUGCCAGCAUUUUUAUUGGUUGAUUUCUUUUUUUUAAAUUUUAUUUAAGGAGAAAAGAAAAAAAAAGCAGAGAAAGGGUACAAGUUAUACAGAUUUACAGAAAAAAAUAAACAGUAGGAAAUCACUAGUUAAUGGAUUACAUAUUGUCAUCUUAGAAAUAAUUGUUCAAGUCACAAAAUUAAAGCUUGUAAAGUGGACAUUCCAACAAUGAUACUGCAAACAGUUCUGUUCAAUGAUCCA
This is a non-coding RNA of Cavia porcellus (domestic guinea pig), 1239 nucleotides long. The record is from the annotation of a RefSeq genome assembly. Lineage: Eukaryota; Metazoa; Chordata; Mammalia; Rodentia; Caviidae.